GGGGUUUUUUCUAGUACGAAAGGACCGAAAAAGCAUGGCCAAUACUUCAUGCAAGCCAUAAUUAUCAACUUAUGAUAAAAUCUUAAUAAGUAAUUAAACCAACACUGAGCUCAAAAAAAGGGCA
RNAcentral lists this ribosomal RNA (124 nucleotides) under Osteocephalus deridens. Its description in RNAcentral is "partial 16S ribosomal RNA". Lineage: Eukaryota; Metazoa; Chordata; Amphibia; Anura; Hylidae. The record is from RNAcentral.